RNAcentral lists this transfer RNA (59 nucleotides) under Ctenocephalides canis (dog flea). Its description in RNAcentral is "tRNA-Arg". The record is from RNAcentral. RNAcentral also lists the same sequence under 1 other name. Lineage: Eukaryota; Metazoa; Arthropoda; Insecta; Siphonaptera; Pulicidae.
AAUAAGAAGCAAUAAUGCAAAUAGUUUCGACCUAUUAAUUGAUAUAUUUAUCCUUAUUU